Long non-coding RNA from Mauremys mutica (yellowpond turtle), 282 nucleotides. RefSeq lists it as uncharacterized. Lineage: Eukaryota; Metazoa; Chordata; Testudines; Geoemydidae. The record is from RefSeq and is a predicted model, not a curated record. The transcript has 3 exons.
AUCCCAUCCAUCAACUUUCCUUCUCCCAUGUUUGGAUAUGUAUGUAGGCCACUGGAAAAGGAUCUUCCUUACAGCCAGCUAACCAGGGUUAAGAGAAUUACUUCAGAAGAAGCAGACUAUAGUUCGCAGUUAUGUGAGAUGGCAAAGAGAUUCUGCACAUGAGGAUGUGAGACCAAUAAAGUGAACUUAGCAGUGGAAAGGAUAAAAAGGUGUCAAUGAAAACCAUUGUACAAGCAGAGGAGAACUUGGCCCGCUAUAUCCUACAGGUCUGAAGAGUGGUGC